Molecule: ribosomal RNA, 468 nt
Filed under: uncultured bacterium
Lineage: Bacteria
Description: partial 16S ribosomal RNA
Rfam family: Bacterial small subunit ribosomal RNA
Source: RNAcentral
GACGAACGCUGGCGGCGUGCUUAACACAUGCAAGUCGAACGGAAAGGCCCUGCUUUUGUGGGGUGCUCGAGUGGCGAACGGGUGAGUAACACGUGAGUAACCUGCCCUUGACUUUGGGAUAACUUCAGGAAACUGGGGCUAAUACCGGAUAGGAGCUCCUGCUGCAUGGUGGGGGUUGGAAAGUUUCGGCGGUUGGGGCUGGACUCGCGGCUUAUCAGCUUGUUGGUGGGGUAGUGGCUUACCAAGGCUUUGGCGGGUAGGCGGCCUGAGAGGGUGACCGGCCACAUUGGGACUGCGAUACGGCCCAGACUCCUACGGGAGGCAGCAGUGGGGAAUAUUGCACAAUGGGCGGAAGCCUGAUGCAGCAACGCCGCGUGCGGGAUGACGGCCUUCGGGUUGUAAACCGCUUUCGCCUGUGACGAAGCGUGAGUGACGGUAAUGGGUAAAGAAGCACCGGCUAACUACGUG